GACGAACCGUGCGAACGUUAUUCGGAAUCACUGGGCUUAAAGCGCGUGUAGGCGGGAGGGCACGUCCGUCGCUGAAAUCCCCCGGCUCAACCGGGGAACGGGCGCGGAUACGACCUUCCUGGAGGGGCGUAGGGGGACCUGGAACUUCCGAUGGAGCGGUGAAAUGCAUUGAGAUCGGAAGGAACGCCCGUGGCGAAAGCGAGGUCCUGGACGCCUACUGACGCUGAGACGCGAAAGCCAGGGGAGCGAACGGG
This 254-nucleotide ribosomal RNA is filed under the name uncultured bacterium. RNAcentral's name for it is "partial 16S ribosomal RNA". It matches the Rfam family "Bacterial small subunit ribosomal RNA", at positions 524 to 776 of the family's 1533-position model. The record is from RNAcentral.